RNAcentral lists this transfer RNA (83 nucleotides) under Rattus norvegicus (Norway rat). It matches the Rfam family "tRNA". Rfam says of the family: Transfer RNA (tRNA) molecules are approximately 80 nucleotides in length. Their secondary structure includes four short double-helical elements and three loops (D, anti-codon, and T loops). Lineage: Eukaryota; Metazoa; Chordata; Mammalia; Rodentia; Muridae. The record is from Rfam by way of RNAcentral.
GGAGAUUUAGCUCAGCAGUAGAGCACUUGCCUAGCAAGCGCAAGUGGCUCCCUGAUAAACAGUACUUCAACUCUGAGUCUCCU